GACGAACGCUGGCGGCGUGCUUAACACAUGCAAGUCGAACGGAAAGGCCUGCUUUCCCUUGUGGAUUGCGGGUACUCGAGUGGCGAACGGGUGAGUAACACGUGAGUGAUCUGCCCCCAACUUGGGUAUAAGCCUGGGAAACUGGGUCUAAUUCCCGAUAGGACUGCAGGGUGGUGCCUGUGGUGGAAAACGAUUUUCUAGUGGUUGGGGAUGAGCUCGCGGCCUAUCAGCUUGUUGGUGGGGUAAUGGCCUACCAAGGCGGCGACGGGUAGCCGGCCUGAGAGGGUGGACUGCCACAUUGGGACUGAGAUACGGCCCAGACUCCUACGGGAGGCAGCCGUGGGGAAUAUUGCACAAUGGGCGGAAGCCUGAUGCAGCGACGCCGCGUGGGGGAUGACGGCCUUCGGGUUGUAAACUCCUUUCGACCGCGAGGAAGCCACCUGGUUGGAAGGGUGGUGACGGUAGUGGUAGAAGAAGCACCGGCUAACUACGUG
This 494-nucleotide ribosomal RNA is filed under the name uncultured bacterium. Its description in RNAcentral is "partial 16S ribosomal RNA". It matches the Rfam family "Bacterial small subunit ribosomal RNA", at positions 28 to 507 of the family's 1533-position model. The record is from RNAcentral.